CAAGUUUUAUAUCGGCAAUCCUGACCCUGGUGUUGCAGAGGAGAAAUUGAGGUCGAUUUUCUUGCAAUUUGGUGAAAUAGUUUAUGUCAAAAUUCUUGCUGCAAAAGGAUGCGGGACAUCUGCUGAAGAAGCAAUUCAAAGGAUGCAUGGAAGUCAAAUUGGUCAAACUGUAGUCCACCUUUCUUGGGGAAAAAAGCACAACUGCUAAAUAGGUCAAAUUUAUGGAGCAAAAGCAUGAAGUUCAUCAAAGGGGUUGUUAGUGCACCAAGUAAAGGAAUGGGUAUGAAGCCAAGUACAAAUCAUAGGGCAAAUCAAUUCUUGGAAUGGCCGAAAACUGUCAAGUGCAAAGAUGUAAUGAAAUGCAAAGCUAAUGAAAUUGAUAAA
Molecule: non-coding RNA, 384 nt
Organism: Lactuca sativa (garden lettuce)
Lineage: Eukaryota; Viridiplantae; Streptophyta; Magnoliopsida; Asterales; Asteraceae
Source: RefSeq, a predicted model, not a curated record